RNAcentral lists this long non-coding RNA (1745 nucleotides) under Malus domestica (apple). Its description in RNAcentral is "long non-coding RNA (MDOM_LNC008433)". The record is from RNAcentral. Lineage: Eukaryota; Viridiplantae; Streptophyta; Magnoliopsida; Rosales; Rosaceae.
GUUUUUUUUUGGAGAAAAUUGGAGAGAACAUGACUCUCCAUUUCUCUCUAAAGAGGCCGGCCACCUUGGGGGUGCAUCUUGCAAUCCCACUACUCCAAGGUCACUCAUUUCUUCUCCAAUCUCUCCUUGUUGAAGAGACUUAGAGGUUCCCUAUUUUGGGAACUUGGAGAAACCUAUUCAUCCAUCCAAAUCCAUAGAUUUAAGAUGCAAGGAAUGAAGGACCUCUCUUUGGGUGAUUAGCCUUUGCUUAUGCAAAGAGGAAUCUACAAAGGUAUAAAUUUCAACUCACUUUGUUUUGAGUUGAGUUUUGGUUCACCAAUCUACUAGGCUUUGAAUUUCAUGGUUAAUGUGUUGUUUUUAAGUGCAUGCUAGCAUGAUUCCGCCUUUAAUUGUUAAUUGCAUGCUUAUUGAUGUUGCUUAAAUAAACAUGUUUUCACAAAAUAUUCCUUCAGGCUUCACCCUAUCAUGGGGGAGUACAAAGUGCAUGCUUAUACUCAGGAGGAAUCCAUAAACAUAUGAUGAGGUUGAUGUAGGCAACGAGGAUGGCCAAUAUCGUAUCAUUGUGAGGCUAUUCUUGAACCCCUUCAUGAACUAAGCAUGGUGGGAAUGACUUAACUAAGUGCAAUGGAGCCAAUAUCAUAUCAUUGUGAGGUGACAUUCUCUAGAGGCCAAAUAAGAUGGGUACUUGCAUUAGUUGCAAAUGAGUAAGCGUACUCUCUCAUUAUUAUUAAUGCUAGCCAAUAUCAUAUCAUUGUGAGGUGGGCUUGGUAAUAGUGAGCCUCCCAUAACCUACUAAGAGUUUCCUCCAAAACUCUCGAAUUCCAAUGAGGGAUAUGGAAUUUGCCAAAAAUAGUGGGUGGUGCUAUUUGAUUUAAAGACUCAAAUCAAAUGGCUUAAAAUCAAUCAAUUUAUAUUCGUUAUGUAUUUGUUUACCAAUAUAUUUGCAAACGCUAUCCAACACUUGACAAAUAAAAACCAAAAGUUUAGUUUCCGGACUUGGUAGUACAAAACCAUAGAUUGUCUUUAAUGGCUUGUAAAUGUACCUAAGUAGUCUCAUCCUCACAAUCUUCCUAAUGAUAAUGUAUCAUUGGAAGAACAUGUUAGAAAAGUCUAUCAUGAAGAGGACAACACAAACAACCAAUGCUUAAUCCUUUGUUAAAUGAACAAAGGAACUUACGAAGAUUAGCAUAAAGAAAAUGACACUUUUAGUGUUAUUAGUUCUUCACUUAUAAAUCGUUGUAUGAAGAAAUAAUGAGUUGUUUUGAACAACCCUUAGUCAAUGCAAACACUUAGUGCUUGUUUCUUUGUUACAUGAACAAAGAACUUGAGAAGAAAGCACAAAGGCAUGGACACUUAAUGUGCCAUGACUCUUCACUUACAAUUGUUGUGUGUGAAGAAAUAAGAGUUGCCUUGUACAACUCUUUAAAGUUUGUAAUUAUGUUUAGAACAUAAUGGUUGGUUGACAAAAAUAGUCCAUCAACAUGGACUUAUGAUGAUUUUGAAUCAUUGAGUGUUGAAGUGUUAAAACACUUCUAGAGACGGGAACUAGGCAAGGACUUCACCUUUGUGUCCCUAUCCUAAUCGUUCACUAAGUUUAUUGUAAACUAUGUAGUGUACAAUAAAACACAUGCUCUCCAAAAUGUUUGAUGUGUAUAACACAAUUGAAAUAAGUUUCAAGAGAGAUAGUGGGAGUUUAGGGACCUUGACUAUGGUAGUCAAAGGAGAAGUCAAAUGAAGAAAGCGAA